This 253-nucleotide ribosomal RNA is filed under the name uncultured bacterium. Its description in RNAcentral is "partial 16S ribosomal RNA". It matches the Rfam family "Bacterial small subunit ribosomal RNA", at positions 524 to 776 of the family's 1533-position model. The record is from RNAcentral.
UACGUAGGGUGCAAGCGUUGUCCGGAAUUAUUGGGCGUAAAGAGCUCGUAGGUGGCCUGUCGCGUCGGCUGUGAAAACUCGGGGCUCAACUCCGAGCUUGCAGUCGAUACGGGCAGGCUAGAGUUCGGUAGGGGAGACUGGAAUUCCUGGUGUAGCGGUGAAAUGCGCAGAUAUCAGGAGGAACACCGGUGGCGAAGGCGGGUCUCUGGGCCGAUACUGACGCUGAGGAGCGAAAGCGUGGGGAGCGAACAGG